RNAcentral lists this signal recognition particle RNA (293 nucleotides) under Microcebus murinus (gray mouse lemur). Its description in RNAcentral is "Metazoan signal recognition particle RNA (ENSMICG00000047890.1)". It matches the Rfam family "Metazoan signal recognition particle RNA". From Rfam's summary of the family: The signal recognition particle (SRP) is a universally conserved ribonucleoprotein. Lineage: Eukaryota; Metazoa; Chordata; Mammalia; Primates; Cheirogaleidae. The record is from RNAcentral.
GCCAGGUGUGGUGACAUGCACCUGUAGUCCCCGCUACCCGAAAGGCUGAGGUUCAAGGAUCACUUGAGCCCGGGAGUUCUGGACUGUAGUGGGCUAUGCCACUCUAGUGUCUGCAAUAUGUUUGGCAUCAAUAUGGUGACCUCCUGGGAGUGGGGGACCACCAGGUUGCCUAAGGAGAGGUGGCCAGGUUGGAAAUGGAGCAAGUAAAAGCUCCUGUGCUGAUUGUUAGUGGGAUCGUGCCUGUGAAUGGACAUUGUACUCCAGGCUGGGCAACAUAGCAAGACCCCAUCUCU